Molecule: unclassified non-coding RNA, 410 nt
Filed under: Hevea brasiliensis (rubber tree)
Lineage: Eukaryota; Viridiplantae; Streptophyta; Magnoliopsida; Malpighiales; Euphorbiaceae
Source: RNAcentral
UUCUGUUAAAUUAUUUAGUCUCUCUAUCAAAUUUUUUAUUAGUCAAUAUCAGUCAAACCACUAUUCAGUAAUUCUACUUUAGUGAUACCAAUUAGUCAGUUUUUGUAUUUUGAAUAGCAUUAUUAUUUAGUUCUUCCAUUUUAGUAAAACUAAUUAAUUGUUUCCUAUAAUUUGGAAAACAUGUUCCUAGAUGAAAAACAAAAAUAUUAUUAUGUGUAGACUAAGUCUGAAUUUAUAUUUUCUUUAGAUUGCUCAAGUAUAAUUUCAUUCAAUUUCCUGGGAAUUAUUUUUGUAUUUUCUUUAUUGUGAUCAAUUUUCUUGAAUUAUCGCUUUGAUUACUUAGAGACUUGAUCAAGUAUUGUUUCUCAAUAGAGAAAAUAUAAAAAUGAUGCCUACGCAAUUAAUUGAAA